AAUGAAGAGCCUGAUUAAAGGAUUAUCGUGAUAGGAUAAAACAUGUAGACUAAAUCUACCUUCAUUA
RNAcentral lists this transfer RNA (67 nucleotides) under Macrotermes muelleri. RNAcentral describes it as "tRNA-Ile". The record is from RNAcentral. Lineage: Eukaryota; Metazoa; Arthropoda; Insecta; Blattodea; Termitidae.